GCGAGAAUAGCCAAGAGGUAAGGCGGAGGUCUGCAAAACCUUAAUCACGGGUUCGAAUCCCGUUUCUUGCU
This 71-nucleotide transfer RNA is filed under the name Enterococcus pallens. RNAcentral describes it as "tRNA-Cys". It matches the Rfam family "tRNA". Rfam says of the family: Transfer RNA (tRNA) molecules are approximately 80 nucleotides in length. Their secondary structure includes four short double-helical elements and three loops (D, anti-codon, and T loops). RNAcentral also lists the same sequence under 2 other names. Lineage: Bacteria; Bacillati; Bacillota; Bacilli; Lactobacillales; Enterococcaceae. The record is from RNAcentral.